CCCUUAGAUGUUCUGGGCCGCACGCGCGCUACACUGACGAUGUCAACGAGUCUCUCCUUGGCCGAAAGGUCUGGGUAAUCUUCUGAAACAUCGUCGUGCUGGGGAUAGAUCAUUGCAAUUUUUGAUCUUGAACGAGGAAUUCCUAGUAAGCGCGAGUCAUCAGCUCGCGUUGAUUACGUCCCUGCCCUUUGUACACACCGCCCGUCGCUACUACCGAUUGAAUGGUUUAGUGAGGACUCCUGAUUGGCGCCGCCGCCCCGGCAACGGAGCAGUGGACUGCCGAAAAGUUGUUCAAACUUGAUCAUUUAGGGGAAGUAAAAGUCGUAACA
Molecule: ribosomal RNA, 329 nt
Filed under: uncultured eukaryote
Lineage: Eukaryota
Description: partial 18S ribosomal RNA
Rfam family: Eukaryotic small subunit ribosomal RNA
Source: RNAcentral